This 133-nucleotide non-coding RNA is filed under the name Ipomoea nil (Japanese morning glory). RNAcentral's name for it is "Bacterial small subunit ribosomal RNA". It matches the Rfam family "Bacterial small subunit ribosomal RNA", at positions 1388 to 1533 of the family's 1533-position model. The record is from Rfam by way of RNAcentral. Lineage: Eukaryota; Viridiplantae; Streptophyta; Magnoliopsida; Solanales; Convolvulaceae.
CACCACCCGUCACACUAUGGGAGCUGGCCAUGCCCGAAGUCCUUACCUUAACGGCAAGGAGGGGGAUGCCGAAGGCAGGGCUAGUGACUGGAGUAAAGUCGUAACAAGGUAGCCGUACUGGAAGGUGUAUUUC